This 373-nucleotide ribosomal RNA is filed under the name uncultured organism. Its description in RNAcentral is "partial 16S ribosomal RNA". It matches the Rfam family "Bacterial small subunit ribosomal RNA", at positions 527 to 896 of the family's 1533-position model. The record is from RNAcentral.
GCAGGUGGCAAGCGUUGUCCGGAAUUAUUGGGCGUAAAGCGCGCGCAGGCGGUUCUUUAAGUCUGAUGUGAAAGCCCACGGCUCAACCGUGGAGGGUCAUUGGAAACUGGAGAACUUGAGUACAGAAGAGGAAAGCGGAAUUCCACGUGUAGCGGUGAAAUGCGUAGAGAUGUGGAGGAACACCAGUGGCGAAGGCGGCUUUCUGGUCUGUAACUGACGCUGAGGCGCGAAAGCGUGGGGAGCAAACAGGAUUAGAUACCCUGGUAGUCCACGCCGUAAACGAUGAGUGCUAAGUGUUAGGGGGGUUUCCGCCCCCCUUAGUGCUGCAGCUAACGCAUUAAGCACUCCGCCUGGGAGUACGGCCGCAAGGCUG